RNAcentral lists this ribosomal RNA (151 nucleotides) under Penicillium vinaceum. Its description in RNAcentral is "5.8S ribosomal RNA". It matches the Rfam family "5.8S ribosomal RNA". From Rfam's summary of the family: 5.8S ribosomal RNA (5.8S rRNA) is a component of the large subunit of the eukaryotic ribosome. It is transcribed by RNA polymerase I as part of the 45S precursor that also contains 18S and 28S rRNA. Functionally, it is thought that 5.8S rRNA may be involved in ribosome translocation. Lineage: Eukaryota; Fungi; Ascomycota; Eurotiomycetes; Eurotiales; Aspergillaceae. The record is from RNAcentral. RNAcentral also lists the same sequence under 1 other name.
AACUUUCAACAACGGAUCUCUUGGUUCCGGCAUCGAUGAAGAACGCAGCGAAAUGCGAUACGUAAUGUGAAUUGCAAAUUCAGUGAAUCAUCGAGUCUUUGAACGCACAUUGCGCCCCCUGGUAUUCCGGGGGGCAUGCCUGUCCGAGCGU